GUAGGGGGCGAGCGUUGUCCGGAUUUAUUGGGCGUAAAGAGCUCGUAGGCGGCUCGGUAAGUCGGGUGUGAAACCUCCAGGCUCAACCUGGAGACGCCACCCGAUACUACCGUGGCUAGAGUCCGGUAGAGGAGCGUAGAAUUCCUGGUGUAGCGGUGAAAUGCGCAGAUAUCAGGAGGAAUACCAGCGGCGAAGGCGGCGCUCUGGGCCGGUACUGACGCUGAGGAGCGAAAGCGUGGGGAGCAAACAGGAUUAGAUACCCUGGUAGUCCACGCCGUAAACGUUGGGCACUAGGUGUGGGGCCUUUUCAACGGGUUCCGUGCCGUAGCUAACGCAUUAAGUGCCCCGCCUGGGGAGUACGGCCGCAAGGCUA
This 373-nucleotide ribosomal RNA is filed under the name uncultured bacterium. RNAcentral's name for it is "bacterial SSU rRNA". It matches the Rfam family "Bacterial small subunit ribosomal RNA", at positions 527 to 896 of the family's 1533-position model. The record is from RNAcentral.